Molecule: long non-coding RNA, 1095 nt
Filed under: Zalophus californianus (California sea lion)
Lineage: Eukaryota; Metazoa; Chordata; Mammalia; Carnivora; Otariidae
Description: lncRNA (ENSZCAG00015004113.1)
Source: RNAcentral
CUGAGAAGUGCCUUAUAUGUCUGAUUUCUCAACUUCACCCUGCAGUAAACUUUUGCAAUCUGGAGGCUAGAGACCUCUUUUGUAAAUGUUGUCUGCCCGAACUGCGUUGGCACCGAGGAGGCCUUAGCAGAUAAAGUGGAGGAACAUAUGGCUCCCAUCUGAAUACAAAUUGGUGGACAUAACGUGGUAAUUCAGCUGAGAUGUCCUCUAUAUUGUAAACUGAAAGAGUAUGAUUAGAGGUGUUUAUAAACGGCGUCUGAUUUUCCCCCACACACCCCCUUCCCCACCCCCUUCCACUGUAGUUUUAUCGGCCUGAAUCAUAGCCAUCCAGCGUCCCAGUCUCACUGCAUUAUUUGUUAAAAUGGCCAGCAUGAGGAAUUAUUAAUUAAAGCUAACAAAUCACCCUGAAGAGCUGUGCCCUGGCAUGGCUGAAGGUUGAUUGGUGAAAGUGUUCUCCUUUGGAGAAAAGACUUUUUGUGCUCGUGACGCAGUCAGGGACGGAUUAUUGAAUAUGCAAGUUAGAAGAAAAAUCACAGGACAAGCAAAUUGAGUAUUUACUGGCAAAUAAUUGCUCUCUUAAGCUGUGGCUCUCUUCCUAAAUUCUUAACAUUCCCGAGGGUUAGAAAGAAACACAGAAAAAUGCAUCGGUACAGAGUACAUUUCAAAAAAAAUACAUAGACUGAUGUUUCAGACUUGUGCAGAAUGUUUCGCCAUCACUAACUGGAUAUUCAUCACAACUUUGCUGUCGGCAGUGGCUGACACUUUUCCUCCAUGCUUUGAGAGGAAGAGAAUUGGCUGGAAUAAAACCUUGCCUUCCACAUGGUCGACUUGAAAUACAGCAUUGAAAAGGACUCAGCUUCCUCUCAAAUAUAUGGAGGAUUGGACUCCCAGGCACAACCCAAUAGAAACAAAGGGCCUAAAGCAGCAUUUUACAACCUUGGCCCUGUUGACAUUUGGAGCCAGAUAAAUCUUUGUUGCUCAGGACCGUCCUGUACAUGGUAAGUUGUAUAGCAGCAUCUCUGACCUCUACCCAUUAAAUGCAACUUCUUCAGUCUUGACAACCCAAAAUGUCUCUAGACACUUCUACAUGUCCCC